UUGGCCACGACUUAGGUUUUAUGUUGUUUC
This 30-nucleotide non-coding RNA is filed under the name Mus musculus (house mouse). Lineage: Eukaryota; Metazoa; Chordata; Mammalia; Rodentia; Muridae. The record is from RNAcentral.